UUUUCUGCUUCACUUGUUUAUGUAGUUGAACUUGAUGGGAGGCAUACAUUGAUAUUGGGAGUUCAUUAGUAGCACCUUUUUUUUUCCAGGGGGUGUUUCAAUGGUAUCUUUCUGUACACAU
Small nucleolar RNA from Capsicum annuum, 121 nucleotides. The record is from RefSeq and is a predicted model, not a curated record. Lineage: Eukaryota; Viridiplantae; Streptophyta; Magnoliopsida; Solanales; Solanaceae.